UUAGAUGGAUUAUAACUAAUCCCAUAAACA
Molecule: transfer RNA, 30 nt
Filed under: Perameles nasuta (long-nosed bandicoot)
Lineage: Eukaryota; Metazoa; Chordata; Mammalia; Peramelemorphia; Peramelidae
Description: partial tRNA-Phe
Source: RNAcentral